This 21-nucleotide unclassified non-coding RNA is filed under the name Mus musculus (house mouse). RNAcentral describes it as "oocyte_clustered_small_RNA13219". The record is from RNAcentral. Lineage: Eukaryota; Metazoa; Chordata; Mammalia; Rodentia; Muridae.
CAGCAGACUGUAUGCACAGUG